This 2928-nucleotide long non-coding RNA is filed under the name Zea mays. RNAcentral describes it as "long non-coding RNA (ZMAY_LNC003126)". The record is from RNAcentral. Lineage: Eukaryota; Viridiplantae; Streptophyta; Magnoliopsida; Poales; Poaceae.
UUGAUUAUAGAUUCUUAAGUUUAUAAAAAUCAUUUUAGACUCAAAAUAAUUUUGAAGUUUAUCAAAGGAUUACUUUAAUAUCCAUGCUAAUGGGGGAUCGCUCCGAUACCACGCUGUGUCAGCCCUCCCAAGUUAUCAGGCCCACAUGCACCAAUCCUUGCCAUUAACGGCCUCAGAUGGCUAUGCACAUGUACCAGGUAACUUAACAAGGCUAUCAAGUUCGUCAACUCGAACUCAUCAUCCCAAGGAUCUCCCACAUAACAUGUACAUUACAGUAAUCACAUUUGAUACACACACUUUGGUGAUAGAGCGGAAGACUUUACAAAACAUACUUUUACAAUUCCAGAUCUCAAGUUUUACAUCAUAGAAAGAGUUGUAAUUAUUACAGGUCUUGAUAGUACUCAAGUGCAUGAAUUAAUACAAGAUUGGGAAAGGUGAGGCCUUUCCAUAAGAAAUAAACUAAGCAUUAAAAUCUUCAAGGCCUCCCCACGAAGCAACUAUUAGGAGCUAAAGAUAGCAAGAAUCCCUCCUGCAACAACAUAGGGAAUAAAACCUUGAGUAUGCAAUUACUCAGCAAGACUUACCCGACUAAAGAAAAGACUCUCAAGGGUAUGCUGGAUUUGGGACUCAAGGUAAAGCUUAUCAAUUAUCGAAGACCCUUUUUUGGCAGAAAAGCUUACUACCAGUUGAUCCCUAAGCCAAGUUUUAUUUCACAAGUUAGGUAUUUACCUACAUCUAGAUUUGCCUAAUCUAGUUCAAGCACUUGGCCUAUACUAGCCGCAUUUUAUUCAUACUCAUAUUUCACUUGCUAUUUACGAUGAUGGUCACCGGGAUGAGUCUCCAUAACCGAGGAGCAACGACGAUUCGAAACGAUUAUACCCAGCUGGGGAUCUCUAACCACACGACAUAUAUAGCACUUAACCCUUGCAUAUGUCAACCGUUCCCACGGAGUCCUCCACUACAUGAACAGGUCCAUGUCACCCGAGAGCACAUUAUCCUACCAGGCGUGCAACUAUGCCAGGAGGAUACAUGCUACUCUCGCCAUCUCUCCACUCCCAGUGCGCGAUUGUCUCUUCACAUAUGGAAUAGCUGGGUUCAAGAUUACCCUGUCCCAUACCAGGGUAUGUGGCUAGUUGUAAAGUCUCAACCACAACAGGCUAGUCAACGGUACGGUCCUUAAUCAACACAGACGGGCGACCAUGUCAGCUCAGCGUCUGGUUCGAUUUAUUCAAACCAUUUCCCAAUUUUUGGUACCCGGCAGGGGUACUCUUUUCGGAUGAUGAACCCAUCCGGAGCCCUGAUGGACUCAUCAUCAUAAGUUUGCUUUCACUUUUGAAUCAAAAGCCCAUAACCAAUGUUACACAUCAUUCUUUUGAAAAACAAAUGAUUUUUGAGUUUCUAAGCAGGACUAAGCAUUAAUAAUUCUUUUUAUAAAACAGGGAUUUAGGAAUUUUCAAGGAAUGGUAAUGCAUCAAUUGUUUAUCACACAACUCCUAUCAUCUAAUGCAUCAUAUCAGGUGAUAAAGCAUUUAAAACACAAGGAAGGGGCAAAUGCACCGGGGCUUGCCUUAUUACAGGAGGAAAUCUGAGAUCUUCUAUUACGAUAAGCAGUUAGAUGGAAUCCACCACUGGAUCAGUAGAACUGGAACAUGCUCCUUCUUCACAAAUCACUUCUUCUGGGUACUCUAUAUGAAAUGCCAUGAUUAUGAAUGCCUGUGUAUGUGCUACUAGCAAGGAAGGUAUUACGAAGCAUUACAAAAUUACAAUUAUAAGCUAUCACCACAAGCCAUAACUGCCAGGGAGCUACUUACUGAACUUCAAUACUCUACACAAACACAGAACGAUGGCGCUGGCCACCCGAAUUUCUUGACUAAAAACCGCAUCAAAUUACAGUCCUAGAAGUUCCAAUCAGAUUUUCUCUCAUUUCCCUAUGCUGGCUUGAUACACUUACUUACUAGGAGUUGCUCUUCUAUGAUCACUCUCCAACUUUAAUUUAAAGGAUACUAGCUAAAACUCAACAGACUUCAGGUUAGAGAGCUCCAAAGUUGGAACUCCAACAAGCUACACAAUUCAGCACCCUCUACCUAACAGAGCAACUUGGAAUAACCUUUUCUCUCAAUUCAAAGCAAGGAUAGGGAGAUCCUUCUUAAAAGAAAUUGCUCCCUAAUAUUAGAUCUUCAAGUUUACUGCAAUGAUCAUCCACCAAAACUUCAAGAAUUGAGACUUAGAAGGGUCCAAAACUGAGAGGAAUUCACGGUUUCUAAAAAUUCAGCAAACUGAAUUACGUUUUAGAUUCUGAAACUGAACUCUACACCAAACUGAACCCCACCUUUAACUUCAUUACUCUUCAUAAUUCCAAACAAUAAUAGUCCAACCUUGACUAAUAAAAUUUGUUUACCAAACAUAUCUGUACAAGUUUGCUGCAACAGCCUUAGGUCAAAGAUUCAUGGAUCAAGAGUUAUAGUGCUCCAAAAAUGGGUUGAGAACACAUAAAAUUCUGUUUCAGCUGACUGAAACUAUAUACUUGUCAGUGGAAGUUUUGAGACGUUUUAUCCAAAAAAAAUUAUAUAGCAGCAAUACCAAUCCUUCACUAACCUUCGAGGAGUAGGGAACGAGCACCACACGACCGACACAACCUCCGAGGAAUCUGGGCCAUGACGAGGGUGAGAACUGCUAUUGUGGUCACCAGACAGGGUGCUGGCGUGCAAGGGUUCAGGGCAGACCAACAGAUGAGGUUGGGGAGAGGGUUAGCACCAGAGUGGGCACAAAAACUACAGCACACUCACUGUGAACCUUGACCAGAGCUCGGGACAGGGAGAAAGUUCCACUAAAGCCAAGCCCUAAGGCACUCAAUAUGUGGGCAAGUACCCUGAACUUGUUCACAACAUAGUGGAGUACUCCCUGGGCGCCAGCACUGCACAAGCUUAC